AGAGUUUGAUCCUGGCUCAGAACGAACGCUGGCGGCGUGGAUUAGGCAUGCAAGUCGAACGGAGUUUCUAGCUUUUCCGGAAACUCAGUGGCGUAAGGGUGAGUAACACGUGGGUAACCUGCCCUCGAGAUCGGGAUAACUUGUCGAAAGACGGGCUAAUACCGGAUACGUUCCGUCAUUACUUAUGACGGUGGAAAGAUGGGGAUCCGUAAGGACCUAUCGCUCUUGGAGGGGCCCGCGGCCUAUCAGCUAGUUGGUGAGGUAAUGGCCCACCAAGGCUAAGACGGGUAGCUGGUCUGAGAGGAUGGUCAGCCACAUUGGGACUGAGACACUGCUCAGACUCCUACGGGAGGCUGCAGUCGAGAAUCUUUCGCAAUGGGGGAAACCCUGACGAAGCGACGCCGCGUGCAGGAUGAAGGUCUUCGGAUUGUAAACUGCUGUCAGCUGGGAAGAAUAAGU
RNAcentral lists this ribosomal RNA (459 nucleotides) under uncultured bacterium. RNAcentral describes it as "bacterial SSU rRNA". It matches the Rfam family "Bacterial small subunit ribosomal RNA", at positions 8 to 454 of the family's 1533-position model. The record is from RNAcentral.